GUGCUUGGGCGAGAGUAGUACUAGGAUGGGUGACCCCCUGGGAAGUCCUCGUGUUGCACCCCCWCCUUCUUUUUGCAUCUAUUUUGCCAUUUUGAGGAAAAUGGUGAAAGGAAAUGCGCGUACGAGUGAACGUGGCYUAAUAAACACGCGCGCGCUACGUAAAACUCAAAAUGUGCGGCGCCGACAAGUUGGAACAUAGGCACAAAAUCGGAUAAUCCUAACGUUUCGGAAUAUAGGAGUAAAAAGGGAAAAGGAAAA
Molecule: ribosomal RNA, 258 nt
Filed under: Polyscias repanda
Lineage: Eukaryota; Viridiplantae; Streptophyta; Magnoliopsida; Apiales; Araliaceae
Source: RNAcentral